UGGGUUGUCUUCUGACCAGCAAAAAGUUGGUUUUCACCAAGCUCAUCUGUUGGGCUAAGGAACAUGUAUAUCAUUACAUGGUAUAAAUCAGCUUGGGAUCCGGUGCACCACUUCACAAUGAUAAGGACGGACAGGUAUCCAAACAGAGCAUUCAGAAAUAUUAUUUGUGGAACAAACUGACACCUGACAUUGCAAAGUUUGGUUAACUGCAAAUCAGCUUUGGAUCCGGUGCACCACUUCACAAUGAUAAGGACGGACAGGUAUCCAAACAGAGCAUUCAGAAAUAUUAUUUGUGGAACAAACUGACACCUGACAUUGCAAAGUUUGGUUAACUGCCAAUAUUUUGAUUGCAACAUCCAAAAUUGUAAAACGGCAUCCCAGAAAUCUAGGGACUGUAAUCCCAAUAUAAU
RNAcentral lists this long non-coding RNA (410 nucleotides) under Nicotiana benthamiana. Its description in RNAcentral is "long non-coding RNA (NBEN_LNC019201)". The record is from RNAcentral. Lineage: Eukaryota; Viridiplantae; Streptophyta; Magnoliopsida; Solanales; Solanaceae.